This 1405-nucleotide long non-coding RNA is filed under the name Neodiprion lecontei (redheaded pine sawfly). Its description in RNAcentral is "uncharacterized LOC124294114". The record is from RNAcentral. Lineage: Eukaryota; Metazoa; Arthropoda; Insecta; Hymenoptera; Diprionidae.
CUCCGGCUAUUUCUGUUCCGCGUUGCAUGUAGAAUUGCGCUGUUCGGCAAUUUUACGUCAGCGAUGAGUGAGCUAUGUUAAUAGUCAAAAUUUGGGGACUCUGGUCAAAGGUGCAGAUUUUACCAGUUCCAUAAGGUGAAUUGAAGCACUCUGGCAGUGCAACGACGUCGGCGCCUUGUUGUUUUGCUCGUUCGACAAAAGAGAUUGCUCGAGAGAUGUUUGUCGCUUUAUCGUCAGUUACGGCAAGUUGUACCAGGGCCAAUCGAAGACCUUUAAUAAGAUAUGUAUUAGAUAUAUUGACAUUAUCGAUCGCCAAAAGUACAAAAUUGUUUCCAUGAAAUUGGCAAAAAUCAUCGUACGUACUUGCCAUUGCUUUACUUGACUGUCGAGCGAUAUUGCUCAAUGCCAUGGCCAUGCAGAUACUAACUGAUAGGUUAGGUCCGAUUGGCUAUAUUAUGUGCUACAACCGAAUGAUGCGACUUAUGCUAACUACUUGUAGCUACUGAUAAGAAAGAGAUGUGUGUGAAGCAGCAUUGAAAGACGAGGAAUCCAAUUUUAGGAAUACACAUCGAUGUAUUAUAGUAUUCUAGAUAUAUUUCAAAGAACUCAUGGAAGGAAAGAAGUUUGCAGCUAGAUAUGUAGUAGAAUUUAAAUGCAGUUAACAUCAACUUUCUCACGUUAUUUGAGGUUGAAGGAACCAAGAUGUUGCCAAAACUGAAAUAUCAAAUAUAACAAUUAUCAGAAUGGCACUGUUGUAUUUAUUCGUUCUUUCUAACUUGAAAAGCCAAUAAAAAUAUGUGUAUUGUAUUGAUGAUAAGGUACAAUGUAUAACCAGUCAUUUUGGUAGAGAUGCAUUUCUAUAAGGUACACCAUCCAAAGUUAUGGAAUGUAUUUGAAGCAUAAGUUCAAAAAGAAAGACAAGAAAAUGUUUGGUUUCAUCGAGUACUUCCUCACCAGCAUAUCCAGCCUUUUGUAAUGAUCAGUUCGACAAUGAAUAUUAUUGUUUAUGCGAAUGGUUGUGGGUUGUGGAUUCGAAAGCUGCUCGUUUGGCCUAUCCAAAGCGUCUAAAUAAUAUUUUUCUCACCCCGCUGUUAUUCUAUUUUCAUUGUUAGUGGUUAUCUCGUCGGUUUCAUUAUGUUGGAAGGCACAGUAUAGUCGCAAACUUAUAUUUUGACUUCAUUAUAGUCAAGGUAGAAUCUUAAAAAAUGUAACAAUUUUUCUUAAUGAAGAGUAUGUACUGUGAUACUUAUGUACAAGUCUGCAAAAGUAUCAAGUAUAAAGCUCAAGUCAAGUCCACUGUCAAGUAUAGGAUACAGCGGCGAUUCCUAAAUUAAAAAUGAACAAAUUUUAUUAAGAAAAGUUUAUGAUACAAUUGUUCGUCCAGGGUAGUCAUAAAAUAAAAUUA